This 651-nucleotide ribosomal RNA is filed under the name uncultured archaeon. RNAcentral describes it as "bacterial SSU rRNA". It matches the Rfam family "Archaeal small subunit ribosomal RNA", at positions 271 to 922 of the family's 1478-position model. The record is from RNAcentral.
GGGCCCUGAGAGGGGGAGCCCGGAGAUGGACUCUGAGACACGAGUCCAGGCCCUACGGGGCGCAGCAGGCGCGAAACCUUCGCAAUGCGCGAAAGCGCGACGAGGGGAGCCCGAGUGCCCUUCCUUUUGGGAGGGCUUUUCCGGAGUCUAAAAAGCUCCGGGAAUAAGGGCUGGGCAAGGCCGGUGGCAGCCGCCGCGGUAAUACCGGCGGCCCGAGUGGUGGCCGCUAUUAUUGGGCCUAAAGCGUCCGUAGCCGGGCCCGUAAGUCCCUGGCGAAAUCCCACGGCUCAACCGUGGGGCUUGCUGGGGAUACUGCGGGCCUUGGGACCGGGAGAGGCCGGGGGUACCCCUGGGGUAGGGGUGAAAUCCUAUAAUCCCAGGGGGACCGCCAGUGGCGAAGGCGCCCGGCUGGAACGGGUCCGACGGUGAGGGACGAAGGCCAGGGGAGCGAACCGGAUUAGAUACCCGGGUAGUCCUGGCUGUAAAGGAUGCGGGCUAGGUGUCGGGCGAGCUUCGAGCUCGCCCGGUGCCGAAGGGAAGCCGUUAAGCCCGCCGCCUGGGGAGUACGGCCGCAAGGCUGAAACUUAAAGGAAUUGGCGGGGGAGCACUACAAGGGGUGGAGCGUGCGGUUUAAUUGGAUUCAACGCCGGG